Molecule: ribosomal RNA, 700 nt
Filed under: Caulobacter sp. enrichment culture clone NB-23
Lineage: Bacteria; Pseudomonadati; Pseudomonadota; Alphaproteobacteria; Caulobacterales; Caulobacteraceae
Description: bacterial SSU rRNA
Rfam family: Bacterial small subunit ribosomal RNA
Source: RNAcentral
AGCGAACGCUGGCGGCAGGCCUAACACAUGCAAGUCGAACGGAUCCUUCGGGAUUAGUGGCGGACGGGUGAGUAACACGUGGGAACGUGCCCUUUGGUUCGGAACAACUCAGGGAAACUUGAGCUAAUACCGGAUGUGCCCUUCGGGGGAAAGAUUUAUCGCCAUUGGAGCGGCCCGCGUCUGAUUAGCUAGUUGGUGGGGUAAAGGCCCACCAAGGCGACGAUCAGUAGCUGGUCUGAGAGGAUGAUCAGCCACAUUGGGACUGAGACACGGCCCAAACUCCUACGGGAGGCAGCAGUGGGGAAUCUUGCGCAAUGGGCGAAAGCCUGACGCAGCCAUGCCGCGUGAAUGAUGAAGGCCUUAGGAUUGUAAAAUUCUUUCACCGGGGACGAUAAUGACGGUACCCGGAGAAGAAGCCCCGGCUAACUUCGUGCCAGCAGCCGCGGUAAUACGAAGGGGGCUAGCGUUGCUCGGAAUUACUGGGCGUAAAGGGAGCGUAGGCGGACUGUUAAGUUAGAGGUGAAAGCCCAGGGCUCAACCUUGGAAUUGCCUUUGAUACUGGCAGUCUUGAGUACGGAAGAGGUAUGUGGAACUCCGAGUGUAGAGGUGAAAUUCGUAGAUAUUCGGAAGAACACCAGUGGCGAAGGCGACAUACUGGUCCGUUACUGACGCUGAGGCUCGAAAGCGUGGGGAGCAAACA